Chlorocebus sabaeus (green monkey) is the source of this 296-nucleotide long non-coding RNA. RefSeq lists it as uncharacterized. The record is from RefSeq and is a predicted model, not a curated record. NCBI's taxonomy places the organism in Eukaryota, Metazoa, Chordata, Mammalia, Primates, Cercopithecidae.
CCCUGGUCAGCAUGCGUGGAAGAGGAUCUGCAGAGCUUGCCCACAGCUUCCCACCCCAGAGGCUGCCAGGAACUGUCGGGAUGCCAGGGCAGGCAGCUUCCCAUAGGUGCUGGAUUACAGGCAUGAACCACUGCACCCGCCCCGCCUGCGUUUUAGAAAAUUCCUUCUGGCUGUGGAGUUGCCCUGGACAAGACCAAAGCUCUCCACCCAUCCCGUGCCGUCGAGCUUCCCUCUUCCCGGGGCCUCUGCCCACCCUGUCCUGGGCUGAGCCUGCCUCCAGCUUCCUUCCUCCCUCA